This is a long non-coding RNA of Diceros bicornis minor, 2305 nucleotides long. RefSeq lists it as uncharacterized. The transcript has 3 exons. NCBI's taxonomy places the organism in Eukaryota, Metazoa, Chordata, Mammalia, Perissodactyla, Rhinocerotidae. The record is from RefSeq and is a predicted model, not a curated record.
AGAGUCCUUCUGAGGACUGUGAGGGAGCUUCUGUUCUGUGCCUCUCUCCUAGCUUCUGGUGGUUUGUCGGCAAUCUUUGGCAUUCCUUGGGUUGUAGACAGAUCACCCCAAUCUCUGCCCUCAUGUUCAAAUGGCAUUCUCCCUGUGUGCAUAUCUAUGUCCAAAUUUCCCCUUUUCAUAAGGACACUAGUCAUACUGGUAUAGGGGCCCACCCUAUUUCGGUAUGAGCUCAUAUUAACUAAUUACAUCUGCGGUGACCCUAUUCCCGAAUAAGGUCACAGUAUAAGGUACUGAGGGUCAGGACUUCAACAUAUGAAUUUGAUGGGCACACAAUUCAACCCAUCACAGGUAUAUACCUAAGAGUGGAGUUUCCAGGUCAGAUCAACUACUGAUAAUGCUGUGACAGUGACAUUAUCAGUCUUGGUAUGCAGCUCUCUGGAAUAAUCAUGAUAGCCAUUGGAGUGCAUGGCAUAUUUAGAAUUUGAAAGACUGUUCGAUUGAAACCAGAAAUCUCAAAUCUGAAUGCUCUUUGGCAGAGGAAUAUAGAUUUUAAGACACAGCUCUCUUGUUGGGAAACUGACUCAAAAUCAGGAUUCAUGUGCUUGGUUAAGUGACAGGUAUCUCAGCAAUCAUACCUGAGACGACAGGUGAGAUAAAUAUCACUGAUUCCUCUUACCCAUGUCUUCCCUCUGUGGCCUCUACUGCAUGGGAAAAGGCUCAAAUCCCUGGUGAUAAAAGACUUUUUUUCUGUAAUCCAUUUCUAUCCUAAACAAAUGACCUUUCUUGUGGGCUGUGAUAUUAACAGAUGAGGUCUUUGACAUUGAGAAUCUCAUCAUAAUCUAUUUCAGAGGAGAAAUCAUAGUCACUGGAAGAAGUAUUAUAAUAGACAUUUUAUUAAUAUAAAUGUAAUUUUCUCCCUGCAGUGGAUACUCAAGCAAAAAAAAUAGUAGCUAUCAUUUAUGGAGUUUCUAUUAUGAUUCAGGCAUUGUUCUCGGUGCCAACACGUGCACAUGCUCACACACUUAUUCUUACAAAAAAUUCCUUUGAUAUUGGCAUUAUCUCUAUUUUUCAGAUUAGAAAAAAGAGGUUCAAAGAGGUUAGAUGACUUGUCCAAGAUUAUUGUAUGAAUUAAUGAAUGCAUGUACCACCUUUAUUCCUAGUACUCUAACAGUUGCUGAUUUCAGAAAUCAGUGGGAAGACCUAGGCUGAAGGAAGGAUGGAAUAUGAAGCCAAAAAAGAGAACCAGCUACCAGGGUCCCACACUGACUGCUGUCUUCAAAACUGCCACUCAGCUGGGAAGGGAGGGAUAACCUGAAAAGCUGAAUACAAUAUGACAAGCAUUUACUUGAAGGCAUUGGCAUCAGAAAACAAACAAGGUAAUAAAGAAUUACCAGACAAGAACCAAGAGAAAACAGGAAUCCAGAGGUAAGUUAGGCAUUUGGCACCAUUUUCCUGUUAGUGGUAUUUCUCAUUUUCAGAGGAAGCUGAGAAGCUGGGUGGUUUAGCCUCACCAGGUUGGGUGAAGAAAAGCUGGAGUCCAUGAUCUUAUACCCAGACUUAAGGUUGGGACCCAAAAGGAUUAAGGACUGGAAAUAGACUAGCUUUCUAAAGGACUGCAGCUCAGCCUCAAAGCAUCUCACUCCCCAAAUUGAAUUAAGGUGACCCUGGAUUGCUAGUGCUUCAGACAAAGGUAAAUCUUCAUUGAGGAAAAUGAAAUUAUCCUAAACCUCAAAUUAGUUCCACCAGAAACUUAAAGAAUACAUUAUCCGGCACACAAUCAAAAGUAACUAAACCGGGGCCAGCCCGUGGCUUAGUGGUUGAGUGAGUGCGCUCCGCUGCUGGUGGCCUGGGUUCGGAUCCUGGGCGCGCACUGACGCACCGCUUGUCCAGCCAUGCUGAUGCGGCGUCCCACAUACAGCAACUAGAAGGAUGUGCAACUAUGACCUACAACUAUCUACUGGGACUUUGGGGAGAAAAAGGAAAAAAAAAAAAUGGAGGAGGAUUGGCAAUAGAUGUUAGCCUAGGGCUGGUCUUCCUCAGCAAAAAGAGGAGGAUUGAUGUGGAUGUUAGCUCAGGGCUGAUCUUCCUGACACACACACAAAAAAAACAAAAGUAACUAAACCCAGGAAGAAAUACGGCAACAUGAACAAAACCCACCAGAAACAAUGGACAAUAGAGAUUGUUGCACAUAGGUUCCAGAUAUUUGAAUUAUUGGUCAUAAUACUUAAAACAACUAUGCUUACAAAAUUAAAGGGGAUAAUAAAAGAUAAAAUUAAGAAUUUUGGUAUAAAACUAGAAAUAUGAA